GACGAACGCUGGCGGCGGGCUUAACACAUGCAAGUCGAACGGAAAGGCCCUGCUUUUGUGGGGUGCUCGAGUGGCGAACGGGUGAGUAACACGUGAGUAACCUGCCCUUGACUUUGGGAUAACUUCAGGAAACUGGGGCUAAUACCGGAUAGGAGCUCCUGCUGCAUGGUGGGGGUUGGAAAGUUUCGGCGGUUGGGGAUGGACUCGCGGCUUAUCAGCUUGUUGGUGGGGUAGUGGCUUACCAAGGCUUUGACGGGUAGCCGGCCUGGGAGGGUGACCGGCCACAUUGGGACUGAGAUACGGCCCAGACUCCUACGGGAGGCAGCAGUGGGGAAUAUUGCACAAUGGGCGGAAGCCUGAUGCAGCAACGCCGCGUGCGGGAUGACGGCCUUCGGGUUGUAAACCGCUUUCGCCUGUGACGAAGCGUGAGUGACGGUAAUGGGUAAAGAAGCACCGGCUAACUACGUG
RNAcentral lists this ribosomal RNA (468 nucleotides) under uncultured bacterium. RNAcentral's name for it is "partial 16S ribosomal RNA". It matches the Rfam family "Bacterial small subunit ribosomal RNA", at positions 28 to 507 of the family's 1533-position model. The record is from RNAcentral.